UACGGAGGAUCCGAGCGUUAUCCGGAUUUAUUGGGUUUAAAGGGUGCGUAGGCGGCGUGAUAAGUCAGUGGUGAAAGUUUGCGGCUCAACCGUAAAAUUGCCAUUGAUACUGUCGUGCUUGAGUACAGAUGAGGUAGGCGGAAUGUGUCAUGUAGCGGUGAAAUGCAUAGAUAUGACACAGAACACCGAUUGCGAAGGCAGCUUACUAAAGUGUAACUGACGCUGAGGCACGAAAGCGUGGGGAUCAAACAGG
Molecule: ribosomal RNA, 253 nt
Filed under: uncultured bacterium
Lineage: Bacteria
Description: partial 16S ribosomal RNA
Rfam family: Bacterial small subunit ribosomal RNA
Source: RNAcentral